UGGGGAAUUUUGCACAAUGGGCGCAAGCCUGAUGCAGCAACGCCGCGUGAACGAUGAAGGUCUUCGGAUCGUAAAGUUCUGUUGCAGGGGAAGAUAAUGACGGUACCCUGUGAGGAAGCCCCGGCUAACUACGUUCCAGCAGCCGCGGUAAUACGUAGGGGGCUAGCGUUAUCCGGAUUUACUGGGCGUAAAGGGUGCGUAGGUGGUCUUUCAAGUCGGUGGUUAAAGGCUACGGCUCAACCGUAGUUAGCCUCCGAAACUGGAAGACUUGAGUGCAGGAGAGGAAAGUGGAAUUCCCAGUGUAGCGGUGAAAUGCGUAGAUAUUGGGAGGAACACCAGUAGCGAAGGCGGCUUUCUGGACUGCAACUGACACUGAGGCACGAAAGCGUGGGUAGCAAACAGG
Molecule: ribosomal RNA, 403 nt
Filed under: Verrucomicrobiota bacterium
Lineage: Bacteria; Pseudomonadati; Verrucomicrobiota
Description: Verrucomicrobia bacterium partial 16S ribosomal RNA
Rfam family: Bacterial small subunit ribosomal RNA
Source: RNAcentral